AGACUGAGUGGCGGACGGGUGAGUAACGCGUGGGUAACCUGCCUCACACUGGGGGACAACAGUUAGAAAUGACUGCUAAUACCGCAUAAGCGCACAGGACCACAUGGUCCGGUGUGAAAAACUCCGGUGGUGUGAGAUGGACCCGCGUUUGAUUAGCUGGUUGGUGGGGUAACGGCCUACCAAGGCAACGAUCAGUAGCCGACCUGAGAGGGUGACCGGCCACAUUGGGACUGAGACACGGCCCAGACUCC
RNAcentral lists this ribosomal RNA (251 nucleotides) under uncultured Eubacteriales bacterium. RNAcentral's name for it is "uncultured Clostridiales bacterium partial 16S ribosomal RNA". It matches the Rfam family "Bacterial small subunit ribosomal RNA", at positions 88 to 339 of the family's 1533-position model. The record is from RNAcentral. Lineage: Bacteria; Bacillati; Bacillota; Clostridia; Eubacteriales.